ACCUUUAACCACGCCCGGUUAUAUUUAGACUGUACCAAGUUCCUAAAGACUUCAUUGAAAUUCGUCAUGUUCAUGCAAUUUGACUACAAUGAUUGGAUUGCAGUCUUCAUUCCUUGCAAGUCGUUUCUUCACAAUAAUUUCAUAAAUAUAGUAAUGGAUCCAUUAGUCUUGAUGAGAUGAGGAGUGGAAUCAAAUUAUUAAUAAAAGGGUCACAACUGGAUACUUACAUUUUAAUUUCAAGUUUACAAUGUUGAUGGUGAUGGUGCUAUUGACUAUGAUGAGUUGAACCAAGGCCUUGAAAGUUUAUCAAAUAUUGAUGAAGAAAUUUUAGAGACAAACAAAAUGCAUUUUUACAUGUAAUACCAGUUCUGCAAAAACUUUGUCGGGAUAAAAAAAUUUUGGAGAGAUUUUGGCCUUCCUGGUUGUCAUGUAAACAUGUCAGAAAUGAUUGGUUGUAUUUCAUCUUCUUGUUUGUGUUCUUCAAAAUUAAUAUUUUACUGUUUGUGGACGCAGCAAUCAGAUACAGAAAAUCAACAUUUAGCCAGAGAUGCUGGUACUUGUCUCAUCAAGUAGUUGUCCUUAUACUAAUGUAUUGACACUCAUUCGAUCAGCAAGACUGUCUAUUUGACAAAUUAACUACAUAAGAUUGUGGGAUAUACUAUUAUCAUACUAUCUCUUCUAAUCUCUUGUUAUUUCAUGGCACAUUUUAUAAAAAUCAGGUCUUGUUGGAUACUUUGUCAUUGGGUUUGAGGUUCCCUCUUAUCCUGUGUACUUGAGUACUAGUCCUCAAGAUACACCCACUCACUGGCAUCAGAGGAUAUUCUUCCUCAAUGAACCCAUACAAGUUCAAACAGGUGUUUAUUAUGUGGUAGUAUCACUUGCUAUAAGAACAAGGAUUGUUCAAGAUCACUUGAUAUCAAGAUACAGAUUAUGUUAUUUCCACUCUCAAAAGAAUCCCAAGUAUUAAUGAUACCAGAACUUGUACUGUACACACUAUCAUCAUGUGUUACUGUUUGUACUUUGUUGUCAUCAGUAGAAUUAAAUUAUAUGCCAUCAUUGCUAAACUUU
Molecule: long non-coding RNA, 1068 nt
Organism: Amphimedon queenslandica
Lineage: Eukaryota; Metazoa; Porifera; Demospongiae; Haplosclerida; Niphatidae
Exons: 7
Source: RefSeq, a predicted model, not a curated record